UACGUAGGGUGCAAGCGUUAAUCGGAAUUACUGGGCGUAAAGCGUGCGCAGGCGGUUGUGUAAGUCUGUCGUGAAAUCCCCGGGCUCAACCUGGGAAUUGCGAUGGAAACUGGCGGGCUGGAGUGUGGCAGAGGGGGGUGGAAUUCCACGUGUAGCAGUGAAAUGCGUAGAGAUGCGGAGGAACACCGAUGGCGAAGGCAGCCCCCUGGGCUAGCACUGACGCUCAGGCACGAAAGCGUGGGGAGCAAACAGG
This 253-nucleotide ribosomal RNA is filed under the name uncultured bacterium. RNAcentral's name for it is "partial 16S ribosomal RNA". It matches the Rfam family "Bacterial small subunit ribosomal RNA", at positions 524 to 776 of the family's 1533-position model. The record is from RNAcentral.